UACGUAGGGGGCUAGCGUUGUCCGGAAUUAUUGGGCGUAAAGCGCGCGUAGGCGGGAUAGUCAGUCUGUUGUAAAAGCGCGGAGCUCAACCCCGUAAGGUCAAUUAAAACUGCUAUGCUUGAGUGCAGGAGAGGAGAGUGGAAUUCCCAGUGUAGAGGUGAAAUGCGUAGAUAUUGGGAGGAACACCAGUGGCGAAGGCGACUUUCUGGACUGUGUCUGACGCUGAGGUGCGAAAGCCAGGGGAGCGAACGGG
This 253-nucleotide ribosomal RNA is filed under the name uncultured bacterium. RNAcentral's name for it is "partial 16S ribosomal RNA". It matches the Rfam family "Bacterial small subunit ribosomal RNA", at positions 524 to 776 of the family's 1533-position model. The record is from RNAcentral.